AGAAAACACACUACUGUAGCUCUCUUCCCAGUUUGUUUGGUGGAAUAGGUGUGUGGCAUCAUGGCAGUUGGGUUAGUUUUGUGGGCAUGGCUUUUGACUAUCCUGGUCUGGAAUGUCUGUGGUUAUCCAAUUGGAGGACAUGAUGCUUGGCCUUCUCAGCCUAGCAGUGGCCUAAUGCAGCCACAUCCAAGCCGGUUUGGUUCCUCUAAAGAAGACCCAGCUGUGCCUGACUCUGUUGAGGAGGUCGAAACUCCUAUGUAUGUGGUCAUGAAGGCAAUUCCUGAUGCAGUUCCUGAGGCCAUUCCUGGUGCAGUUCCUGAGAUCAGUCUGGUUCCACCACCUCCACCACCAUCGCCAUUUGAGCAGAUCUACAAACCAGGGAAAGUCAUUCGGCAGCUUUCUACUUUUGAGUAUGGUCAUGAUUCAUCCGAGUCCCAUGAUGAUGAUUUGCCACUGUAUGGUCCUUUCCCAGUUGACGUUGAGCCCAGCUCCUCAGAAAUCGGUGCCCCAGAAACUAGUGCCCCAGAGCCCAGUUACCUGGAGACCUCUGGUCCCGGUUAUCCCUACCCAGAGUUGGAUGACCAGUUCUUUCACAUGUUCAUCACUGGACAGCUUCCACGUGGUACUGUGACCCACUUCUCUACCCAUUACGAACAGGGCAAAAAUGCCUGGACCGACGUAGGCUUUGAAAAGAUGGUUCCUCCCCCUAUAGUUCCUUCUAAAAUGGCUCCAGCUGCUCCAAGCAAAGUACUGAACAAGCGCAAGAGUUUUGCUAAUCGCUAUCCCCCUAAACAGUAGUGGAGGACUCCAAGCCAGGAGGUGGUGCUGACUUCACAGGAAAUGCCAGGGCAAGAAAAUGUUCCUUGCCUUGAUUUAAUAAACAUUUUACACUGAA
This is a long non-coding RNA of Sardina pilchardus (European sardine), 895 nucleotides long. RefSeq lists it as uncharacterized. The transcript is spliced from 4 exons. NCBI's taxonomy places the organism in Eukaryota, Metazoa, Chordata, Actinopteri, Clupeiformes, Clupeidae. The record is from RefSeq and is a predicted model, not a curated record.